Mus caroli (Ryukyu mouse) is the source of this 382-nucleotide non-coding RNA. The record is from RefSeq and is a predicted model, not a curated record. NCBI's taxonomy places the organism in Eukaryota, Metazoa, Chordata, Mammalia, Rodentia, Muridae.
GCAGGGGUUGAGACUCAUGGGGCAAACAGACCUGAGGAUCUAGGCACCUACAUCCAUUAAGGUUUGAAAUUCAGAAGCAGUAGGCUGUAAGCACUCAACAUUCCUCUCAGGCAGCAUGGAUCCAGUUCUAGCCAUAUUGCCCCAUGGAUGGAGUAGAGACAGCUGGUCCCUACCACACCCAGCCCAAUGUGCAGUGUCNGGAGCAAAAUCCACUUCGUUGGUCAAGCUUUGCAAGGCAAAGUUUAGCAUCAGGAGUGGUCCAUGGCUGUCUGCCCACCCACUGCUGGGACAGAAGCUGCUCUCAGCCACAGCCACCCCCAUCAAUCAAUAUUUUUAAUUACCUUUACAUGAUUGACUAAUAAAAUUCUCCACUGACUAAUUG